AGUCGAGCGGUAAGGCCCUUCGGGGUACACGAGCGGCGAACGGGUGAGUAACACGUGGGUAAUCUGCCCUGCACUCUGGGAUAAGCCCGGGAAACUGGGUCUAAUACCGGAUACGACCUCUUCCCGCAUGUGGUGGGGUGGAAAGUUCCGGCGGUGCAGGAUGAACCCGCGGCCUAUCAGCUUGUUGGUGGGGUAAUGGCCUACCAAGGCGACGACGGGUAGCCGGCCUGAGAGGGCGACCGGCCACACUGGGACUGAGACACGGCCCAGACUCCUACGGGAGGCAGCAGUGGGGAAUAUUGCGCAAUGGGCGAAAGCCUGACGCAGCGACGCCGCGUGAGGGAUGACGGCCUUCGGGUUGUAAACCUCUUUCAGCAGGGACGAAGCGUGAGUGACGGUACCUGCAGAAGAAGCACCGGCCAACUACGUGCCAGCAGCC
Molecule: ribosomal RNA, 439 nt
Filed under: Amycolatopsis sp. XMU204
Lineage: Bacteria; Bacillati; Actinomycetota; Actinomycetes; Pseudonocardiales; Pseudonocardiaceae
Description: bacterial SSU rRNA
Rfam family: Bacterial small subunit ribosomal RNA
Source: RNAcentral